UCGAGAAUCUUCGGCAAUGGGGGAAACCCUGACCGAGCGACGCCGCGUGUGAGAUGAAGGCCUUCGGGUUGUAAAUCACUGUCGUAGAGGAGGAAAUGUAGGUGGGUUCUCCCACUUAUUUGACCUAUUCUAGGAGGAAGGACGGGCUAAGUUCGUGCCAGCAGCCGCGGUAAUACGGACCGUCCAAACGUUAUUCGGAAUCACUGGGCUUAAAGGGUGCGUAGGCGGUCCGGGAAGUUGGGUGUGAAAGCCCUCGGCUCAACCGAGGAAUUGCGUCCAAAACUGCCGGACUUGAGGGAGACAUAGGUGAGCGGAACCUAGGGUGGAGCGGUGAAAUGCGUUGAGAUCCUAGGGAACACCAGUAGCGAAAGCGGCUCACUGGGUCUCUUCUGACGCUCAUGUGCGAAAGCUAGGGUAGCGAACG
RNAcentral lists this ribosomal RNA (424 nucleotides) under uncultured prokaryote. RNAcentral's name for it is "bacterial SSU rRNA". It matches the Rfam family "Bacterial small subunit ribosomal RNA", at positions 355 to 774 of the family's 1533-position model. The record is from RNAcentral.